GGUAUAGCGCAGUUGGUUAGCGCGCCAGAUUGUGGCUCUGGAGGUCGUGGGUUCGAUUCCCACUACC
This 67-nucleotide transfer RNA is filed under the name human gut metagenome. It matches the Rfam family "tRNA". From Rfam's summary of the family: Transfer RNA (tRNA) molecules are approximately 80 nucleotides in length. Their secondary structure includes four short double-helical elements and three loops (D, anti-codon, and T loops). The record is from RNAcentral.